Molecule: ribosomal RNA, 402 nt
Filed under: Triticum aestivum (bread wheat)
Lineage: Eukaryota; Viridiplantae; Streptophyta; Magnoliopsida; Poales; Poaceae
Description: partial small subunit ribosomal RNA
Source: RNAcentral
AUGGCCUGCGAUGUCGCCGCCGAUGAGCCACCCGCCAUCCCCACCGUACUGGAGCUUCGCGUGCUCGACAAAGCCCCCGCCGUCUGCCCUGUCCAGGAGCCCCGCGCGCCCGACAAGUCCCUCGCCGUCUGCACCGCCCGGGAGCUCCGCGCAGGCGACGCGCCGUCCGCCAUGGGCAGGCCCCCCGAUCUCUGCGCCGGCGACACUGAGCACGCGGCACACGAUAGAAAUGCAUCGGCUCGCACUGGUGAAUUUUGUGUAGGUCACGUUGGAGUAGUGGGUUGGGCAGCAGGGGAUGAGGAUUUUGAUUCAUUGAGCCAGGAAUCUCUAUUUGAUAGAAGUCUGUCUCUGCUAGAGAAAUUGUACAGCAAGUCUGAAUUUGUUAGAUUCAGAGUACCAUAG